Microcebus murinus (gray mouse lemur) is the source of this 3581-nucleotide non-coding RNA. Lineage: Eukaryota; Metazoa; Chordata; Mammalia; Primates; Cheirogaleidae. The record is from RefSeq and is a predicted model, not a curated record.
AUGCUAUGCUUCAUGAGGCCAAGGAUGUACUCUUUAAUAAGGAAUUAUUAAAGAGCUCUAAAUGUGUUUAGACAAGGAUAAAUCAAACAAGAAAAAUAGUCAUUCAACAAUUCUUUUAAGAAUAUGUAUUGGCCAUAUAUUUAUGUGCAGGCUGUUUGCCAACUGCUGGGAAUAUAUCCACAAACAUAGCAGGCAAUGCUUCUUCCUACAUGGAACUCAUAUUUUAUAUGGAGAUACCAAAUAUCAAAUCAGCAACAAGUAAGACAACUACAGACUGCAAAAAAACUCUGAAUGAGACAUCAAAAUAAGGGCCAGAUAAAGGCGGAAGUCCUUUGUCUGAAACUGCCCAGGCCUGGCCAGCUGUGAUGAAAACUGUCUGAUGUUUCACAGGCUUUUUGUCUGGCCCCAAGCUGGUAUUUGCCUCUUUUAGUUUUGGAGGUUUUAAAGGAACAUCGCGUUCUAGCACACAAUGUCACAAUAGUAUCCUGCGCAGGUGAAGAAAACAACCAGGAUGAGAGCUGUCUUCAGGAUCUGGGUUCUCACUUCAAGGGCCAGCCUUGGCAGCCUCGCCUUCUCUGAGUAGGAAUGAUGGAAGAGGGCAGGCAGUACAUGCAGGGGGCAGUGAACACAACCAAAGAAGGAAGAAGAAGGAAUGUAAACUGUCAAGGGGGCAUUUUUCUUUUCCUUCACCUUCCUUUUUUUUUAGUAAAGAAAAGAAGAAAUCUAUCAGGCAGCUUGAGUAUCAAUAUCUCAAUCUCUUUGGAUCUGCUGUUAUGUUCACUCAUAUUCAGGAAAGUCACACAUAUCGUUUUUCAAAAGACAUAGGAGAGAAAAUAUUGUAAACUGACAACCCUUUCAGGAAAUCCACGUCAGACUUGAAAUUUAAGAUAAAUUGAAGUGGAGACUUAAUUCUCCAGUGGAUUUCGAUUUGAAUACUAAGGUUCUUCAAAACUAUUUUUCUCUAUAGUCAAUUUGAGCAUAUGAAAAAUAAGAAGAAUGGGUCGAAGAUCUCUUUAUUUAACACUUUGGACCACUGCAGAAAAUAUUCAGGCAAAAAAUAGUGGGAGAUAAAGUGAAUUUCAUCUCCAUCUCCUCCAUCAGGUGGGUCCUUCUGUGAAUAUUGUAACUGUAUCUGAUGGGAAGAAUACUCUGGAACCCUGGAAGAAAUAGAGUUAGGAUCUCCACAGCAACAACUACUCUAUGCAAAUGAAAAUGGAAUCUACCUCAUUUCCCAAUACCCUUUGUGUACUGGAUGCCUCGUUUUUCUAGAUAAAGUGUAUCAAUUCUCCAUUUUACUUUUACAUAUAAAAACACUCAAUACUUUAAAAAAUUGAAGCAGAAGAGACUAACUUUGAAAUUUUCUCAUGAAAACUGACCUUUUCUUCUUACUCUUUAUUGAAAAAACAGCUUUGGGUCUUUCAGUUGCUAGAACACACAGGAUGAAGGGGUCAAGGAAGGAGGAAGGGAGAAGAUCAUCACCUACACAGCUUCUUGGCACGGGGAAGAGGACAUUUAUUUCACUUUCAUGAGGACCAAACUUUAAGCUGGUUUUCCAACCCAUUAAGGCCCUCCACAAGUCAAGUGUUCGACUGCUGGAAAUGAAGAAGUAGAGCUUUGGUUUACAUAUGUUGACAUGAACAACUCAGUUGCACCCGUUGUGAGAGUAACGGCUCAGCUCAUGAUGAGUGAACAGGUCAUCCAACAAGCAAUAGAAAAUACAGAAAUGGACCUUCUUUGGGAGCAGGGUAGCAAGGUGCUGACAGCUUAAUGAAUGAUUUGUCUGUUAUGACAGUAGGACACCUUGCAAUGCCAAGAGCAAAUAUUUGAAAGAAUAUGCAAUGCAGGAAAUGUAUGUAUGUUCUAUAUAUAGGACACUUAGAUUGCCUGUAUCACUAACAGAUGGACAGAGUUUGAGAAAUCUUAUUUUAUAAUGUGCAACAUCACUCCUGUCAGAUACACUUUGAAAUUUGGGGAUUAAUGGAGCAUGACACUCAGAGUAAAAUGGGAAUUCCAUUGUAUGUACUGAGAGAUUGGGGGCUUUACGGGUAGAGACGCUCAGCAAAGACUAUUGCAUGUAUUCUUUACAGGUGUAAUUCUGAUUUCACUUAUAAUUUAAUAACAAACAGCUCCAGGCCUGUGUCAGAUGGAAUAAGUAACUAGAUAAUUUUGCGAGAUGCUUUUGGAUAAAAUCAAAUAGUAAAACUAGGGUUGAAAAGCCAAGUGAUCAGAUGAAUAAGAAGUUUACUUUUCCUCUCUGAACUGAGAGAUCACCUACAUCAGUGUUGAAGAGCAAUAAGAUGGGUUAGCUUGAAAAAAAUAUAUAUUAUUUAUAAAGGAACUCACUUUGGAGUUUUGACUCAAUAAUUUUAAUUAAAUAAUCUUAGAUGACUGACUGAUAGAUGGUUAACAAAUAGAUUCUGACACUCUCAUCCACUCUUGUAUGCACUCUUAUAAAUACAUUUGUUACUUGUAACAAAUAAGCAUGUAGACAAAGAAUUAGACACGCCAAUAAUUAUAGAUUGAUGACCAUUUUACAGUCUCAUGGGUCAAAAUUGUAUGUACUGUAGACUAGAGAUUAUUUCCUAUUAAAGAAGCAAAGAAGGGGGUGGGUGACUUAUAAGUAUUGUGGGAAACCCCAAGAUAUCCAUACUACUAAAAUUUCACUAAAGCUAUCUCAUUAGCCAGAUUAUACCAUAAAGAAGUCUCCCUUCUUCUCAUCACUGCAUGCAUGCCCAUUCGUCAUUCAUCAGUUUUUACUGGCAGAUGGCUAGGAACCAGGUGCUCUGCUGCCUGUCCCGGUGAAUGGCACGCUGCCUUCAGAAAUGCUCUGUGUCAAAACCCUAAGAGUAAAAGUCUACAGAUUACUGUUCUUAGCUUUCCCUCCAUUCUCUGGCAACUCUCCCAACAACAUGGGCUUCUGAGAGCUUUGCUGUGGAGGCAUUCCUUCCAGCCACAUAACAAUUCUAUAGAAAGAAAGAAGGGUCCCAGCCAGUAAGAACUCAUAAGAAGCUGGCAAAAUACAGGCUUCCCACAGCUGUUAGGUAUGCUUUCUCUGUGCAGCCAGGUCUCGACAUCUGGUGCAAACUACUUGACUGAGACAAGAGAAAGAGAUCUGGUUUUCAAAUCAUCAGGGCACCAACACUUGGCCUCAUAAAUUGAUCCAGUUAGAUAAGGGAAUCUCAACACCAAUGAAACACACGAUGACAUGUUGCAAAAUAAUAGGUACUAUUGCUUAGGCUAAGUGGCCUCCUAAAUGUUUAUUUUCAAGUCAAUUUUUUAAAAUAUAUGCCUUAAGUAAACUGUUUAUAAAACUGAGCACAUAAUUAAGCAUAAAAAGAAAUUUAUGUGUAAAAUUUGGUCCCGCCUUUUUUUACUGUGAUCUUCAUCUUUCUGCAAGAAACAGCUCUGCCACUGCACUAUCUCAGAGCUCCCACACUGGAGCCAUCCCAGACCCUUACACUCUCCCUGGUGGUUUACCUGAUCAGUUAAAUAACAUUGUCCACUGCAUAUGAAUAUGGCUUCUCAAGUGCAUUCCUUCAUUUCCACUCUCUCUGCUUUUAUUCCAGGUCAGGUCUUCAUAA